Molecule: ribosomal RNA, 253 nt
Filed under: uncultured bacterium
Lineage: Bacteria
Description: partial 16S ribosomal RNA
Rfam family: Bacterial small subunit ribosomal RNA
Source: RNAcentral
UACAGAGGUCUCAAGCGUUGUUCGGAUUCAUUGGGCGUAAAGGGUGCGUAGGUGGGUCUGUAAGUCAGUGGUGAAAUCUCCGGGCUUAACUCGGAAACUGCCAUUGAUACUAUAGGUCUUGAAUUAUCUGGAGGUGAGCGGAAUAUGUCAUGUAGCGGUGAAAUGCUUAGAUAUGACAUAGAACACCAAUUGCGAAGGCAGCUCACUACGGAUAUAUUGACACUGAGGCACGAAAGCGUGGGGAUCAAACAGG